Molecule: ribosomal RNA, 32 nt
Filed under: Campanula versicolor
Lineage: Eukaryota; Viridiplantae; Streptophyta; Magnoliopsida; Asterales; Campanulaceae
Description: partial 18S ribosomal RNA
Source: RNAcentral
UAGGUGAACCUGCGGAAGGAUCAUUGUCGAAC